Molecule: long non-coding RNA, 300 nt
Organism: Castor canadensis (American beaver)
Lineage: Eukaryota; Metazoa; Chordata; Mammalia; Rodentia; Castoridae
Source: RefSeq, a predicted model, not a curated record
CAUCCCCUUACUUUCAGAAAGGAUGCUCACGGUGUGGUUGAGAAGCUUUACCACAGCUUUCAUGUGAUCUCCUUCUGCUCAAAUAUUGAAGAAAGCAUUUUGAAAAUUAUAUCCAGACUUGAAUAUACUUUGGACUAGAACUUCAGUGUCCAGAGGCUCUGGCCUACAGAUUGCCUGUCCAAUCAUCACAGCACAGUAGUAGAAGAACCACUAAACGUGGAUUCAGAAAACUAGUUGUAUGUGAUUUGGGACAUGUUGUGAACCCCAUCACUCACAAUAUCCUAAUCUAUAUUUAUAACA